RNAcentral lists this ribosomal RNA (473 nucleotides) under uncultured Chloroflexota bacterium. RNAcentral's name for it is "bacterial SSU rRNA". It matches the Rfam family "Bacterial small subunit ribosomal RNA", at positions 896 to 1382 of the family's 1533-position model. Lineage: Bacteria; Bacillati; Chloroflexota. The record is from RNAcentral.
GAAACUUAAGGAAUUGACGGGGCCGCACAAGCAGUGGAGUAUGUGGUUUAAUUCGACGCAACGCGAAGAACCUUACCAAGGCUUGACAUGUUGGAAGUAGUGAACGGAGACGGAAACGACCUGUUAAAUCAGGAGCCAUCACAGGUGAUGCAUGGCUGUCGUCAGCUCGUGCCGUGAGGUGUCGGGUUAAGUCCCAUAACGAGCGCAACCCUUGUUGCCAGUUAAUUUCUCUGGCGAGACUGCCCCGCAAAACGGGGAGGAAGGCGAGGAUGACGUCAAGUCAGUAUGUCCCUUAUGCCUUGGGCCACACACACGCUACAAUGGAUAGUUACAGCAGGUUGCAAUGGAGCGAUCCGGAGCCAAUCCUUAAAACUAUCCUCAGUUCGGAUUGCAGGCUGCAAUUCGCCUGCAUGAAGUCGGAGUUGCUAGUAACCGCGUAUCAGCUUGGCGCGGUGAAUACGUUCUCGGGCCUU